AUGGUUAGGAGUGUACCAAUUGGUGAGAAGCUCUUCAUAGGAGGAGACCUCAAUGGCCGCGUGGGUACAUCUAACACAGGUUUUGAAGGGGCGCAUGGGGGCUUUGGCUAUGGCAUCAGGAAUCAAGAAGGAGAAUAUGUCUUAAGCUUUGCUCUAGCCUACAACAUGAUUGUAGCUAACACGCUCUUUAGAAAGAGAGAAUCACAUCUGGUGACUCUUUGUAAUGGCCAACACUCUAGCCAGAUUGAUUUCAUCCUCUCGCGAAGAGAAGAUAGGCGUGCGUGCCUAGACUGUAAGGUGAUACCUGGAGAGAGUGUUGUACCCCAACAUAAGCUGGUGGUUGCUGACUUACGCUUUCGGAUUCGUGUCCAGCGGGAUAAGCGUGCCAAAGUCGCUAGAAUGAAGUGGUGGAAGCUCAAGGGGGAGGUAGCUCAAGCGUUCAAGGAGAGGGUCAUUAAGGAGGGCCCUUGGGAGGAAGGAGGGGAUGCGGACAAUGUGUGGAUGAAGAUGGCGACUUGCAUUCGUAAGGUGGCCUCGGAGGAGUUUGGAGUGUCCAGGGGAAGGAGAAGCGAAGAUAAGGAUACCUGGUGGUGGAAUGAUGAUGUCCAGAAGGCGAUUAAAGAGAAGAAAGAUUGCUUCAGACGCCUAUACCUGGAUAGAAGUGCAGACAACAUAGAGAAGUACAAGAUGGUGAAGAAGGCUGCAAAGCGAGCUGUUGGUGAAGCAAGGGGUCGGGCAUAUGAGGACCUCUACCAACGGUUAGGCACGAAUGAAGGCGAAAGGGACAUCUAUAAGAUGGCCAAGAUCCGAGAGAGGAAGACGAGGGAUAUUGGCCAAGUCAAAUGCAUCAAGGACGGAGCAGGCCAACUCUUGGUGAAGGACGAGGAGAUUAAGCAUAGAUGGCGGGAGUACUUCGACAAGCUGUUCAAUGGGGAGAAUGAGAGUUCUACCAUUGAACUGGACGACUCCUUUGAUGAGACCAGCAUGCGUUUUGUGCGGCGAAUCCAGGAGUCUGAGGUCAAGGAGGCUUUAAAAAGGAUGAAAGGAGGCAAGGCGAUGGGCCCUGAUUGUAUCCCCAUUGAGGUGUGGAAAGGUCUCGGGGACCUAGCGAUAGUAUGGCUAACCAAGCUUUUCAACCUCAUUUUUCAGGCAAACAAGAUGCCAGAAGAAUGGAGACGGAGUAUAUUAGUACCAAUCUUCAAGAACAAGGGGGAUGUUCAGAGUUGUACUAAUUACCGUGGAAUUAAGCUGAUGAGCCAUACAAUGAAGCUAUGGGAGAGAGUCAUUGAGCACCGCUUAAGAAGAAUGACAAGUGUGACCAAAAAUUAG
Molecule: ribosomal RNA, 1329 nt
Filed under: Triticum aestivum (bread wheat)
Lineage: Eukaryota; Viridiplantae; Streptophyta; Magnoliopsida; Poales; Poaceae
Description: partial small subunit ribosomal RNA
Source: RNAcentral